AUGGAGACCUCCCUGCGGCUGCGCGGCGCCGACUCCACCUCCAGCCAGCAGCUCGGCCUCCGCAUCCACGCCAAGCAGAAGGUGCCCCUCACCUACAACGCACUCCUACAACUCGCAAUCUUGCCACCCCAUGUCUUCUACUUCUACUGA
Molecule: ribosomal RNA, 150 nt
Filed under: Triticum aestivum (bread wheat)
Lineage: Eukaryota; Viridiplantae; Streptophyta; Magnoliopsida; Poales; Poaceae
Description: partial small subunit ribosomal RNA
Source: RNAcentral